RNAcentral lists this ribosomal RNA (235 nucleotides) under uncultured bacterium. Its description in RNAcentral is "partial 16S ribosomal RNA". It matches the Rfam family "Bacterial small subunit ribosomal RNA", at positions 99 to 334 of the family's 1533-position model. The record is from RNAcentral.
CGGACGGGUGAGUAACGCGUGGAUAACCUGCCUCACACUGGGGGAUAACAGUUAGAAAUGACUGCUAAUACCGCAUAAGCGCACAGUACCGCAUGGUACAGUGUGAAAAACUCCGGUGGUGUGAGAUGGAUCCGCGUCUGAUUAGCCAGUUGGCGGGGUAACGGCCCACCAAAGCGACGAUCAGUAGCCGACCUGGGAGGGUGACCGGCCACAUUGGGACUGAGACACGGCCCAA